Molecule: ribosomal RNA, 855 nt
Filed under: uncultured bacterium
Lineage: Bacteria
Description: bacterial SSU rRNA
Rfam family: Bacterial small subunit ribosomal RNA
Source: RNAcentral
GAUGAACGCUGGCGGCGUGCUUAACACAUGCAAGUCGAACGGUGAAAGAGAGCUUGCUCUCUGGAUCAGUGGCGAACGGGUGAGUAACACGUGAGCAAUCUGCCCCUGACUCUGGGAUAAGCGUUGGAAACGACGUCUAAUACCGGAUACGAGCUGCGAAGGCAUCUUCAGCAGCUGGAAAGAACUUCGGUCAGGGAUGAGCUCGCGGCCUAUCAGCUAGUUGGUGAGGUAAUGGCUCACCAAGGCGUCGACGGGUAGCCGGCCUGAGAGGGCGACCGGCCACACUGGGACUGAGACACGGCCCAGACUCCUACGGGAGGCAGCAGUGGGGAAUAUUGCACAAUGGGCGAAACCCUGAUGCAGCGACGCCGCGUGAGGGAUGACGGCCUUCGGGUUGUAAACCUCUUUCAGCAGGGAAGAAGCGCAAGUGACGGUACCUGCAGAAGAAGCACCGGCUAGCUACGUGCCAGCAGCCGCGGUAAUACGUAGGGUGCGAGCGUUGUCCGGAAUUAUUGGGCGUAAAGGGCUCGUAGGCGGUCCGUCACGUCGGAAGUGAAAACCUGGGGCUUAACCCCGGGCCUGCUUUCGAUACGGGCGGACUUGAGUUCGGCAGGGGAGGCUGGAAUUCCUGGUGUAGCGGUGGAAUGCGCAGAUAUCAGAGGAACACCAAUGGCGAAGGCAGGUCUCUGGGCCGAUACUGACGCUGAGGAGCGAAAGCGUGGGGAGCGAACAGGAUUAGAUACCCUGGUAGUCCACGCCGUAAACGGUGGGUGCUAGGUGUGGGAGACUAUCUACGUUUUCCGCGCCGCAGCUAACGCAUUAAGCACCCGCCUGGGGAGUACGGCGCAAGGCUAA